This is a long non-coding RNA of Homo sapiens (human), 1626 nucleotides long. RefSeq lists it as uncharacterized. The record is from RefSeq and is a predicted model, not a curated record. Lineage: Eukaryota; Metazoa; Chordata; Mammalia; Primates; Hominidae. The transcript is spliced from 3 exons.
UCAGCCUCGGUUUCCCCAUCCUCACAGUGGGAUGAUAAUGGCACCACUAAAGGGACUGAUUGGGAAGAUUGAAUAGGGUAAUUUCUGCGGGACCUCGGGACAGCGCCUGACAUGGGGUAAGGCUGCAAUGGGUGCUGCUGUGGUUUCCCACAGAGUGAACCCACAGGGUGACAGAUAGGUCGCACACGCCCAGUCUAAGUCGUGGCUGCCAGCCCUCCCAGGGUAAAGGCCGCCUCUCCGGUUCCGCUGCACGCCUGGGGUACGUCUAUGCAGCGGUGGCUCCGUGUCUGUCCUGGAAGCAUCACGUCGAAUGUUCAUUUCCGUUCGAUCAUACUAAUUUCUUACCCAAAUUACAACCCUAAGAGAAAAAAAGCAUAAUCUUUGGCCUAGGAGGCUCCGCAGACAAGAAUGAGGGAGCUGCGGUUUCGGGCUGGAUCACUUUCCCUUCCAUUACACUUCCCUCCUCCCCACCUUUAGCCUCGCUUCCCGCUGAUGGGAAACCAACACUGCUGUGGCGGCCACACCUUCCCGGGGGCCACUGGAGAAGUCAGGCUGAGGCUUGGGGGUCAGGGAGCAAGCCUCGAGGCGAAUUUAUCUUGCGCCGCUGGAGGGCAGUGCGCCUUUAAAAAUGCGCCCCGCGUCCCAGGUGCGGGAGUGGAAGGCGCAGGUGGUAACCGUGGAUUCAACAACAAUUAUUUGUGUGACCGCCAGGCGCUGAGUAGAGCCCAGAGGUGGUGGUGGCGGUUUGUUUUUGUUUUGGGGAAAAGGGAACCCGUGCUAGAAUUAACUGAGUUAAUUGGCUCCUGGCAAAACAUUGACUCCCUCCUCUUGCCUUCCCUAAACUCGGUCCUGAGAGGAGGAAGGAUACUGCCUAGGCGCAGGCUGCACCUGGGGGAGGCUGGCUUCCCACACUCGUGCCUUUCCAUCGAAUAGGCUCCUUUCUUAGGCCUCUCAAAGUGGAACAAGGUCCUUCACUUACUUCUACGUGAGAAGAGCCACUCUGAGUGGACAGGCAGGACAGGCAGGUGGGGCCCAUUAUUCUUGGAUGAAGGAGAGAAUCACGUCCGCCACCUCUGACUACCUGCAUUAAGGAUGUAUACACAUCAGUUAUUCAAGAACACGUCUGCAAGUUGCCACCAUAACCAAGUGAAAAGUGAAAAACUGAGACAUCCAAGCAGUGGUUUGCAAACUGUUCUGUGGUCUUCAGGAGCAUUGGAGGUCUCGUGAAAUGUCUGAUUCAAACAGCCUUUUAAGAAAAUGCAUCUUUAUAUUUAAAGUUUAAUAAAAACAUCAAGAUAAUUAAAUGUAUUUUAUAUCAAAUGCUAACAAUGGAGACCACCAACAUGUUAGCUAUGCUUGGAGUUUCCUAGCUUUGGGGUGUUAGUUCUCUGUGUUUGUGUGUGUGUAAUGCUUGUAAAAUGUGUCACAGACAAUGAACAUUGUAACCAGGCAUAGGACUUUGGGCUGAGCGAAUCCCUUGGAGUAGGACAGUGUGCUGAGGGCUUUGCGGUGGUCCCUGAGACCUGGGCUGUGUUAAACCUUAGACCCGUCUGCUGGGCUCUCACUCCUGCCUCAAGAAUCUCAGGUUGGCUGGACAAAAACAAGGGAGGCACACAGUCACACUCA